CCUACGGGAGGCAGCAGUGGGGAAUAUUGGACAAUGGGCGCAAGCCUGAUCCAGCCAUACCGCGUGAGUGAAGAAGGCCUUCGGGUUGUAAAGCUCUUUUUGAAGACUUGCGGUACCCAAAGAAUAAGCACCGGCUAACUUCGUGCCAGCAGCCGCGGUAAUACGAAGGGUGCAAGCGUUACUCGGAAUUACUGGGCGUAAAGCGUGCGUAGGUGGUUUGUUAAGUCUGAUGUGAAAGCCCUGGGCUCAACCUGGGAAUUGCAUUGGAUACUGGCAGGCUAGAGUGCGGUAGAGGGUAGUGGAAUUCCCGGUGUAGCAGUGAAAUGCGUAGAGAUCGGGAGGAACAUCUGUGGCGAAGGCGACUACCUGGACCAGACUGACACUGAGGCACGAAAGCGUGGGGAGCAAACAGGAUUAGAUACCCUUGUAGUC
RNAcentral lists this ribosomal RNA (432 nucleotides) under uncultured bacterium. Its description in RNAcentral is "partial 16S ribosomal RNA". It matches the Rfam family "Bacterial small subunit ribosomal RNA", at positions 338 to 795 of the family's 1533-position model. The record is from RNAcentral.